Molecule: ribosomal RNA, 253 nt
Filed under: uncultured bacterium
Lineage: Bacteria
Description: partial 16S ribosomal RNA
Rfam family: Bacterial small subunit ribosomal RNA
Source: RNAcentral
UACGGGGGGGGCAAGCGUUGUUCGGAAUUACUGGGCGUAAAGGGCUCGUAGGUGGCCAACUAAGUCAGACGUGAAAUCCCUCAGCUUAACUGGGGAACUGCGUCUGAUACUGGAUGGCUUGAGUUUGGGAGAGGGAUGCGGAAUUCCAGGUGUAGCGGUGAAAUGCGUAGAUAUCUGGAGGAACACCCGUGGCGAAGGCGGCUCUCUGGGACGGUACUGACGCUGAGACGCGAAAGCGUGGGGAGCGAACAGG